GGCUUAAUACAUGCAAGUCGAACGGUAACAGGAGAGCUUGCUCUCGCUGACGAGUGGCGCACGGGUGCGUAACGCGUAUGCAACUUGCCCUUAACUGAGGGAUAGCCCAGAGAAAUUUGGAUUAAUACCUCAAAAUAUAUUUAGGACACAUGUUUUGAAUAUUAAAGCUUUGGCGGUUAAGGAUGGGCAUGCGUCCUAUUAGUUAGUUGGUGAGGUAACGGCUCACCAAGACAGCGAUAGGUAGGGGGCCUGAGAGGGUGAUCCCCCACACUGGUACUGAGACACGGACCAGACUCCUACGGGAGGCAGCAGUAAGGAAUAUUGGGCAAUGGACGCAAGUCUGACCCAGCCAUGCCGCGUGCAGGAUGACU
Molecule: ribosomal RNA, 371 nt
Filed under: uncultured Bacteroidota bacterium
Lineage: Bacteria; Pseudomonadati; Bacteroidota
Description: bacterial SSU rRNA
Rfam family: Bacterial small subunit ribosomal RNA
Source: RNAcentral